UACGUAGGGUGCGAGCGUUGUCCGGAAUCACUGGGCGUAAAGGGCGCGUAGGCGGCCCUGGUAAGUCUGCGGUGAAAGCCCGGGGCUCAACCCCGGGUCGGCCGCGGGUACUGCCGGGCUGGAGUGCCGUAGGGGCAGGCGGAAUUCCGGGUGUAGCGGUGGAAUGCGUAGAGAUCCGGAAGAACACCGGUGGCGAAGGCGGGUUGCUGGGCUGACACUGACGCUGAUGCGCGAAAGCCAGGGGAGCGAACGGG
Molecule: ribosomal RNA, 254 nt
Filed under: uncultured bacterium
Lineage: Bacteria
Description: partial 16S ribosomal RNA
Rfam family: Bacterial small subunit ribosomal RNA
Source: RNAcentral